This 506-nucleotide long non-coding RNA is filed under the name Bos taurus (domestic cattle). Its description in RNAcentral is "long non-coding RNA NONBTAT023647". The record is from RNAcentral. Lineage: Eukaryota; Metazoa; Chordata; Mammalia; Artiodactyla; Bovidae.
AUAAGCAUUUAAAUCUGCCUGUCCACUCUUCUUAUUGUAUUUAAAUGUUAAUUCAUAAGAUUGGGACAUAGUCCAAAAUUCAUAUAAAUGAAAACCUGUUGGCACAGAUUAAUAAAAAUAAUUAAAACCAGGUCUGGACAGAGGUAAAGAUUUGACAAACUAAAGCAAGAUGUAUCUAAUCUCUUAAGUGCUCUAAACUCUAAUGUAGAAUCCCUUCAAAUUUUAGAAGUUGUCCCGUAGAGGAGGUUAACUUGAUGUAUGCUGGUUUGUCUUAUGAGUCAAGACAAAUCACAGAGUAAAAUAAUAAAUGUAAAGUCUAGGGAAUAAAGUUCUAAUGUAAUGAUUAUGAAAGAAGAGCUCAGGUCAUUCUUCUCUACAAUAUCACAUUUUGCAGGUACUUUGUGAGUGUAUAUAGCAAUAGAUACUAAAUGGGUCAGCUACCUUGAUAUAUGUUAAAUGACACCAGGAAAGUAGUUCCUAUUACUAAAAUUGAUUGGAUUCCAUUA